AGCAACGGAGGACGGAACAGGCAGCCGUCGCCCAGCGUUAGGAGAUGUGGGAAGCGUCACCCCACCCUUGCU
The submitters of this non-coding RNA (72 nucleotides) gave its source as unclassified sequences. The record is from Rfam.